GUCCACGCUGUAAACGAUGGGCACUAGAUGCUGCGGGUAUUGACCCCUGCGGUGUCGUAGUUAACGCGUUAAGUGCCCCGCCUGGGGAGUACGGUCGCAAGAUUAAAACUCAAAGGAAUUGACGGGGGCCCGCACAAGCGGUGGAGCAUGUGGUUUAAUUCGACGCAACGCGAAGAACCUUACCUGGGUUAGACAACAGUGGACAUCCUCAUAGAUGAGGCUUUCCCUUCGGGGACCGCUGGUUCAGGUGCUGCAUUGCUGUCGU
Molecule: ribosomal RNA, 265 nt
Filed under: uncultured bacterium
Lineage: Bacteria
Description: partial 16S ribosomal RNA
Rfam family: Bacterial small subunit ribosomal RNA
Source: RNAcentral